AGACCCGAAACCCGGUGAUCUAGCCAUGGGCAGGUUGAAGGUUGGGUAACACUAACUGGAGGACCGAACCGACUAAUGUUGAAAAAUUAGCGGAUGACCUGUGGCUGGGGGUGAAAGGCCAAUCAAACCGGGAGAUAGCUGGUUCUCCCCGAAAGCUAUUUAGGUAGCGCCUCGUGAACUCAUCUCCGGGGGUAGAGCACUGUUUCGGCUAGGGGGCCAUCCCGGCUUACCAACCCGAUGCAAACUGCGAAUACCGGAGAAUGUUAUCACGGGAGACACACGGCGGGUGCUAACGUCCGUCGUGAAGAGGGAAACAACCCAGACCGCCAGCUAAGGUCCCAAAGUCAUGGUUAAGUGGGAAACGAUGUGGGAAGGCCCAGACAGCCAGGAUGUUGGCUUAGAAGCAGCCAUCAUUUAAAGAAAGCGUAAUAGCUCACUGGUCGAGUCGGCCUGCGCGGAAGAUGUAACGGGGCUAAACCAUGCACCGAAGCUGCGGCAGCGACACUUUAGUGUUGUUGGGUAGGGGAGCGUUCUGUAAGCCGUUGAAGGUGUCCUGUGAGGGGUGCUGGAGGUAUCAGAAGUGCGAAUGCUGACAUAAGUAACGAUAAAGCGGGUGAAAAGCCCGCUCGCCGGAAGACCAAGGGUUCCUGUCCAACGUUAAUCGGGGCAGGGUGAGUCGACCCCUAAGGCGAGGCCGAAAGGCGUAGUCGAUGGGAAACGGGUUAAUAUUCCCGUACUUGGUGUUACUGCGAAGGGGGGACGGAGAAGGCUAUGUUGGCCGGGCGACGGUAGUCCCGGUUUAAGCGUGUAGGCUGGUUUUCCAGGCAAAUCCGGAAAAUCAAGGCUGAGGCGUGAUGACGAGGCACCACGGUGCUGAAGCAACAAAUGCCCUGCUUCCAGGAAAAGCCUCUAAGCAUCAGGUAACAUCAAAUCGUACCCCAAACCGACACAGGUGGUCAGGUAGAGAAUACCAAGGCGCUUGAGAGAACUCGGGUGAAGGAACUAGGCAAAAUGGUGCCGUAACUUCGGGAGAAGGCACGCUGACACGUAGGUGAAGUGAUUUACUCAUGGAGCUGAAGUCAGUCGAAGAUACCAGCUGGCUGCAACUGUUUAUUAAAAACACAGCACUGUGCAAACACGAAAGUGGACGUAUACGGUGUGACGCCUGCCCGGUGCCGGAAGGUUAAUUGAUGGGGUCAGCGCAAGCGAAGCUCCUGAUCGAAGCCCCGGUAAACGGCGGCCGUAACUAUAACGGUCCUAAGGUAGCGAAAUUCCUUGUCGGGUAAGUUCCGACCUGCACGAAUGGCGUAAUGAUGGCCAGGCUGUCUCCACCCGAGACUCAGUGAAAUUGAACUCGCUGUGAAGAUGCAGUGUACCCGCGGCAAGACGGAAAGACCCCGUGAACCUUUACUAUAGCUUGACACUGAACAUUGAGCCUUGAUGUGUAGGAUAGGUGGGAGGCUUUGAAGCGUGGACGCCAGUCUGCGUGGAGCCGACCUUGAAAUACCACCCUUU
This 1515-nucleotide ribosomal RNA is filed under the name Salmonella enterica. RNAcentral's name for it is "partial 23S ribosomal RNA". It matches the Rfam family "Bacterial large subunit ribosomal RNA", at positions 711 to 2208 of the family's 2925-position model. The record is from RNAcentral. Lineage: Bacteria; Pseudomonadati; Pseudomonadota; Gammaproteobacteria; Enterobacterales; Enterobacteriaceae.